AUGCACGCUAGCGGGAGGCCUAACCCAUGCAAGCCGAGCGGUAGAGUCUCUUCGGAGCCUUGAGAGCGGCGCACGGGUGCGGAACACGUGUGCAACCUGCCUUUAUCUGGGGGAUAGCCUUUCGAAGGGAAGAUUAAUACCCCAUAAUAUACUGGAUGGCAUCAUCUGGUAUUGAAAACUCCGGUGGAUAGAGAUGGGCACGCGCAAGAUUAGAUAGUUGGUGAGGUAACGGCUCACCAAGUCAGCGAUCUUUAGGGGGCCUGAGAGGGUGAUCCCCCACACUGGUACUGAGACACGGACCAGACUCCUACGGGAGGCAGCAGUGAGGAAUAUUGGACAAUGGGUGAGAGCCUGAUCCAGCCAUCCCGCGUGAAGGACGACGGCCCUAUGGGUUGUAAACUUCUUUUGUAUAGGGAUAAACCUAGAUACGUGUAUCUAGCUGAAGGUACUAUACGAAUAAGCACCGGCUAACUCCGUG
This 478-nucleotide ribosomal RNA is filed under the name uncultured bacterium. RNAcentral's name for it is "partial 16S ribosomal RNA". It matches the Rfam family "Bacterial small subunit ribosomal RNA", at positions 29 to 507 of the family's 1533-position model. The record is from RNAcentral.